Molecule: small RNA, 85 nt
Filed under: Pan troglodytes (chimpanzee)
Lineage: Eukaryota; Metazoa; Chordata; Mammalia; Primates; Hominidae
Description: processed transcript
Source: RNAcentral
ACCACAGCCCUCCAAAGACUGCAGCCCCCACCAGUGCUGACGGGGACUUCGCGGUCACCCACCUGACCAAGGCCCACCUGUUCCA